GCAAAGGAAAGGUUUUUUUACUGUAAGAACAAUCAGGAUGUGGAAUUCUCUGCCUGAGGAAGUGGUUUUAUCAGAGUCCAUACAGAUGUUCAAACGGCUACUAGAUGCAUACUUGCAAGAACAGAAUAUUCAAGGAUAUAAUCUUUCAGUGUAGGGUAAUAACUGCUUGAUCCAAGGAUAAAUCUGACUGCCAUUCUGGGGUCAAGAAGGAAUUUUUUUCCUAGCUUGUUGCAAAAUUGUGCUUCAAACUGUUUUUUUUUUGCCUUCUU
Molecule: non-coding RNA, 269 nt
Organism: Pelobates cultripes (western spadefoot toad)
Lineage: Eukaryota; Metazoa; Chordata; Amphibia; Anura; Pelobatidae
Source: the annotation of a GenBank genome assembly